GACGAACGCUGGCGGCGUGCCUAAUACAUGCAAGUUGAGCGCUGAAGGUUGGUACUUGUACCGACUGGAUGAGCAGCGAACGGGUGAGUAACGCGUGGGGAAUCUGCCUUUGAGCGGGGGACAACAUUUGGAAACGAAUGCUAAUACCGCAUAAAAACUUUAAACACAAGUUUUAAGUUUGAAAGAUGCAAUUGCAUCACUCAAAGAUGAUCCCGCGUUGUAUUAGCUAGUUGGUGAGGUAAAGGCUCACCAAGGCGAUGAUACAUAGCCGACCUGAGAGGGUGGUCGGCCACCUCGGGACUGAGACACGGCCCAAACUCCUACGGGAGGCAGCAGUAGGGAAUCUUCGGCAAUGGACGGAAGUCUGACCGAGCAACGCCGCGUGAGUGAAGAAGGGUUUCGGAUCGGAAAACUCUGUUGGUAGAGAAGAACGUUAGUGAGAGUGGAAAGCUCAUCAAGUGACGGUAACUACCCAGAAAGGGACGGCUAACUACGUG
RNAcentral lists this ribosomal RNA (497 nucleotides) under uncultured bacterium. RNAcentral's name for it is "partial 16S ribosomal RNA". It matches the Rfam family "Bacterial small subunit ribosomal RNA", at positions 28 to 507 of the family's 1533-position model. The record is from RNAcentral.